This 370-nucleotide ribosomal RNA is filed under the name uncultured organism. RNAcentral's name for it is "bacterial SSU rRNA". It matches the Rfam family "Bacterial small subunit ribosomal RNA", at positions 526 to 896 of the family's 1533-position model. The record is from RNAcentral.
CGAAUGGGGCAAGCGUUGUUCGGAAUCACUGGGCUUAAAGCGUGCGCAGGCGGUUCUGCAAGUCAGAAGUGAAAGCCCGGGGCCUAACCCCGGAAUUGCUUUUGAAACUGCAGAACUAGAAUAUGGGAGAGGUUAGCAGAAUUCCGAGUGUAGAGGUGAAAUUCGCAGAUAUUCGGAGGAAUACCAGUGGCGAAGGCGGCUAACUGGACCAUUAUUGACGCUCAGGCACGAAAGCGUGGGGAGCAAACAGGAUUAGAUACCCUGGUAGUCCACGCCGUAAACGAUGUGUGCUCGUUGUCGGGAUCUUUAGGUCCCGGUGACAACGCGAAAGCAUUAAGCACACCGCCUGGGGAGUACGGUCGCAAGAUUA